This 251-nucleotide ribosomal RNA is filed under the name uncultured bacterium. RNAcentral describes it as "partial 16S ribosomal RNA". It matches the Rfam family "Bacterial small subunit ribosomal RNA", at positions 29 to 307 of the family's 1533-position model. The record is from RNAcentral.
AACGAACGCUGGCGGCAGGCCUAACACAUGCAAGUCGAACGCUCCGCAAGGGGAGUGGCGCACGGGUGAGUAACACGUGGGAACCUACCUUCUGGUACGGAACAACCAAGGGAAACUUUGGCUAAGACCGUAUACGACCUCCGGGGUGAAAGAGUUGAUCGCCGGAAGAGGGCCCGCGUCCGAUUAGGUAAGUUGGUGAGGUAACGGCUCACCAAGCCUUCGAUCGGUAGCUGGUCUGAGAGGAUGACCAG